RNAcentral lists this ribosomal RNA (497 nucleotides) under uncultured bacterium. RNAcentral describes it as "partial 16S ribosomal RNA". It matches the Rfam family "Bacterial small subunit ribosomal RNA", at positions 28 to 507 of the family's 1533-position model. The record is from RNAcentral.
GAUGAACGCUGGCGGCGUGCCUAAUACAUGCCAGUCGAGCGAACAGACGAGGAUCUUGCUCCUCUGACGUUAGCGGCGGACGUGUGAGUAACACGUGGAUAACCUACCUAUAAGACUGGGAUAACUUCGGGAAACCGGAGCUAAUACCGGAUCAUAUAUUGAACCGCAUGGUUCAAUAGUGAAAGACGGUUUUGCUGUCACUUAUAGAUGGAUCCGCGCCGGAUUAGCUAGUUGGUAAGGUAACGGCUUACCAAGGCAACGAUGCGUAGCCGACCUGAGAGGGUGAACGGCCCCACUGGAACUGAGACACGGUCCAGACUCCUACGGGAGGCAGCAGUAGGGAAGCGUCCGAAAUGGGGGAAAGCCUGACGGAGCAACGCCGGGUGAGUGAAGAAGGGCUUCGGAUCGGAAAACGCUGUUAGUAGGGAAGAACAAAUGUGUAAGUAACUAUGCACGUCUUGACGGUACCUAAUCAGAAAGCCACGGCUAACUACGUG